AUUGAACGCUGGCGGCAUGCCUUACACAUGCAAGUCGAACGGACUGUUCUUCUUCGGAUGAACGGUUAGUGGCGUCCGGGUGAGUAACACGUGGGUGACCUACCCCGAGAGGGAAGUAACUACCCGAAGGGUUGCUAAUUCCGCAUGAUCUCGGACAUUCAUUUGUCCGAGCAAAGUCGCAAGACGCUUUGGGAGGGGCCCGCGGCCGAUUAGCUAGUUGGUAGGGUAAUGGCCUACCAAGGCGAAGAUCGGUAGCUGGUCUGAGAGGAUGAUCAGCCACACUGGCACUGAAACACGGGCCAGACACCUACGGGUGGCAG
RNAcentral lists this ribosomal RNA (320 nucleotides) under uncultured Chloroflexota bacterium. RNAcentral's name for it is "bacterial SSU rRNA". It matches the Rfam family "Bacterial small subunit ribosomal RNA", at positions 30 to 351 of the family's 1533-position model. The record is from RNAcentral. Lineage: Bacteria; Bacillati; Chloroflexota.